UGCUGUCAGCCUCCUCUCAGAUAUGCAUUCUCUGCUCUCCUGUACACUUUUCUCCUAAGCUCUCAGAAGCAUCUUUCAUCUUACCACAAUUCAACCCACAAUUUCUUGGCCUUGGAAAGGGUUCAGUACAGAGAAGAGAAACCAAGAAUAGCUUUUGGAAGUCUCAUGCCAUGGCUGACAACUGUGACCACCUGAGAUGAUCAUCCAGUCGCUGUGGAAUUUAGCAGGAUGCCACUGUGAGAUCAGGCUGGAGAACAGAGCUGUGGUGAACGGAGAAGGGAGAGGGUCGGACCAAAUCCCCUCCAUCCAUGGUUGAGCUGAGAGAUGCUGGCAAAGUUCGCCAAUCUUUUCCUGCUUCAUUUUUACCCAGCUGAAAAGCAGAGAGAAGAUUCGUAGGCUGCCUUCAGACUGAUGCCCUGUGGGCGCUGAGCUCCCGCUGCACCUGCUCCCAAAGAUUCUCCUGAUGUCAUGUGGCUGAGCCUUUGUAAGAGGGGAUUCAUAGCAGCCUCCCGACGCUCAUGGUAAGGUAGGUGCUUGUGGUAGGUGCCGCAGCCUUCGCCAGCCCCCAACUUUAGAGUGAAGCUCCAGUUGACCCUCAAAGUUCCUUGAAGCAAACCUCUGUGUAAGUGAAAGGGUCCCAGAGCCACCACAGUGGGGGCAGGUGUCUUGGUGGCAGCUUAAACUGUUUUGCAGCCUGUGCUUUUAGGAACCCAGGCCAGGAGUUAAGACUCCUGCUGUUAACAGUCACUUUAUCCUCUCCGCCCACACCACAGAGCCUGGCAGGAAGGCAGUCCAGAACAGUGGGUCAACAGAUGUACACGGUCUGCUGAGUGGAGACCCACCAGGGAGGACUAAGGCGGUGGAAAAGGCCACUCUGCCUAGACUUUGAAUUCCUCAGUUCCUUGGGGCUAAACAUAACACUGCUUCCUCAGUGGAGCCCCUCUUCCCUUGCAUUUAUAAACCUUAACUCAUGCAUUGAUGCCAUUUAACCACCAGGUAGCUAGCUAGAACUGAAAAUGUAACCUUUAAUUUGAAGGCCUAUACUUGAAGAAAUUGCUUGUCUGCAGUGCUGAGGUUCUGGGAAGGUAGCAAUGAGAAGGAGGGAUUGAAAGAAGGGAGAGUCACAGCUGAAAAACAGAAUCUGGUGCCUCUGUGCUCUGUAAUGUCUCAUCUUUCCUUUCCAGAAGCCCCCAAGCUCUGACUUAGCUAAAAUUAUUUUGGUUCAUUCGGCCACGCCUCAAGAUGUUCGGCCAGGACACUUUGAUUGGACUGAAGGGAAAUGGGUUAUUUAAGUGGCCCGAACUUCAGAACAAGAUGUGUGUUUAUACCUAUUCUGUUGCUCCAUUUCGGCUCCAUCAGAUGAUAGAGAGAAAAGACUUCCUGGGCUCUCUAUAGCGGAAACCUGUUGGCAAGGCAAAGACCACCUGGCCCCCGGCCAAGCCCAGCAGAGAUGCUGCUUGAGAGAGACAAGUCAGUGAGCAUUUGUGCAGGCUCUGGUACCUGGAACAAAAAUACGCCGAGCGGCAAAUUAUGGCUUUCAGAUGUCACCACUGCCAUCUGACAUUGUGUUUCAGCUGUUCACGUCUUCAUUACUGUGCUGCAGCCUCCCAUUAAGGCUGUUACUGUGUGUGAGACACAUUUAUGUUAUGUGGUUUUCUGUACACCCCAAGCAACAACGCUCACCAAGGGUUAUCAGGCUGAUUGCCAAAACCCUAUGGUGGAGAUGCUCUGAGUCUAUAGGUUGCUUUGUGGGCGUCCCUGUGUGCAUGUGUGUGUGUGUAUGUGUGUGUGUACAUCCCUCCUCCAUGCCCCAUCUUGUAACAGCUGAAAGGAAUCAGCCUCCACACUACAGGAACUUGUUCUUUGUGUGGUUUUCUCAUCUCCCUUUGCUCCCUUACGGCCCCCCCUCCUGGCCCAUCUGCCAGAUCCUUCCUCCCCCUCUCUCUUGCUCCUCUUUGAGGUGGUAACCAGACCAACACAGCAAUGCCCUUGUGACUCCCUUUUCAGUUUCUCAGCCUCACUCAGAUUAAUGGAACAGAAACAUGUGCUUGCAUCUGAUGCCAGUAAUCAUAUCCUGAGUGACCACAGAGAGAGAGAUUAAGCAAAGGUACUGGCCCGGUCCCGGGGGAUACGGUUACAGGAAGAAAGUGUUUCUUGACAGCAGCCGCUCUGGCUCCCUCUCGCUUGCCCUCCUUCAUUCCUAGCUAGGCUCAUUAAGUCCCUUGAAUAUUUUCCAUAAGAUUAGUUAAAAUCUACCCAGCAAUGGUCCAAGUCACUUAAGAACUGGGUUUUGAUCUACAUUCUGAUCUUUACUCAUAGAUGUGAACAGAGCAUAUUUCCAUAUUCUUUACUUUGAUUUAGUCCCUGUGAUUAUAUAUUUUGGAUGUGUGUUUUCAAAUAGUGAAAGGUAAACAAGUGUAUGGUUAUCUAGUCUGAUGACUUAAGUCAACAAGUAUCAACUGUAAGCAAAUGACUCCUUUAGUAGGACAACAUCCUUGGCCCAGGGGCAGGGCAAUGAGGCACAUACUCAAAUACUGUGACAUGAGAUUAAGUGUGAUGAGUGUGCAGGGAUAAACUGAGUGAAGCCAGGGAGAACAGGGAAGGAAAAGCACUCCUGGCUGGGGAAACCCUGGGAGGCAUCCUGGAAGAAGUGGUAUUUGAGAUGACCCUAAAGGGAAAGGUAAGAUUUUGGUAGAUGUAAAUAAAAAGAAAAGGCAUUACUUGAGAAAGGUCCAGCUUGAGCAAAAGCCUGGAGUUGGGAAGGCAGAGUGUUUCGAGAUGAGUGGGAAUUUGAGGUAAACUGCAGAAAUGUGUACCUAUAGGGAAAGUGAUGGAAAGUGGACUGAGAGAGCCUUGAACUAUGAUGAGUGUAAAGCCAGGCUUAGGACUUAUUAUCAGCAGUGGGAGCCAUUGCAGGUCUUAGAGCAGGGAGACACAACAUAGUGCUUUCCUGAUGGAACUUGAAGAGUGUCCUCAAAGAAGCACAGACAAUAGAUUGUGGGGAAAGGGGUGCGGGAGGAGGAGAGAGUAGAGAUGGAUCCCUUAGGAGGUUACAGCAAUGGUCUGAAAAAGAGUAGAAUAUAAGCACUUGAUGGGAAUACAAACAUCGUGAUAUAGGAGAGAUAUGGAAAAGACAGAACUUGCAAUUGGUUGGAUCUAGGAGGUAAGGCCACUGGGUAAGCCAGAGAUGACGCUGAGAUUUGGAGACUGAACACUGGAGUGGCGGGCUCUUAGGAGAGGAGGAUAGAAGGGAGGACAGAACUGGAGCAGAAAAUGACCCAUUCCGUUUGGGAUAUUUAGACAUUCAGAAGAGGCACCCGAGACCUGGUGCCCGACAGGGGUUGGAGCUCAGAGCUGGUGCUGACAAGAGAGGCUGGAAGUGAGGACCAUCUGCACGGAGGUGUCAGGUGAGGCCCAGGGUAGGUGAGAUAACGAAGGAGGCAGCACAGAGGGAGGGAUGCUACGCUCAGAUCCUUGGGGAGGCACACACAUUAAAAAGUGAAAACAACGGGAGUUUCCUGCCACGGAAACCCAGAGGGGAGAGAUUUCCUGUGGAAUGCUGAACCAGCUGAGGAUGAGGACUGGGGCAAGGCUGCCGGAUUUGUGGCUGAGGAGGAGGUCCUUGGAGUCCUUCCUGGGGCUCCAUCAGGAGCGAGGUGGGGCGGAAGCCGGAUUAGAAGCCCCGAAGAGCGAGUGGGUGAUGAGGAAGUGUAGGCAGCAAGUGUGUUUCCUGAAGAGCUUUUAAAAAUAGGACGGAGGCCCCUCAUUUGUGCAUAGUUUGAGGGCCUCCUGCCAGGGAAAUCCAGGAGACUACGGAGGCUGUGAGGGGCCAAAAGCCACCAUCUCUCGUGGUGUUUGUAAGAUUCCUUCCAAGCCAGCAACCCUGAUACGUUGGUUUCCUCAUGGUAGCAGGUGAGAAAGUGGUUGUAUUUGUUGUCAGCAGGUACUUGUUAAUGUCACAAACCAGACCUCUCCUUCAACGAGGUCCAGAGCAGAUUGCCCCGAGGAAUGAGCACUGACUUGGAGUUUUCUAGACUGUUAUGCAUCUGGUUUUAGGGGCCACCAUAAAGGGGUGACUGUGGAGGAAUCACUGCUUUUCCAGGAUAUUGGCAGGACUUGCACGAAGGAUAAACAAAGAGGCAUGUCAGCUUCCAGGGUCUCUUUUCUGUUUCUCAGAAAAAAAAAGAGUCUAACCUUUUGAAGACAGACUUGAGGUUAAUUGCUCUUUCCUCAGGAGAGCCUGCCAAAGAGAAAAUGAACCCGGUGACCCUGACGACCCACCACCCCAGCUGUUCUCCAUCACCUGACAGUUGAGCCUUCAAGAUGCUGGCGAGUUCUGCCUGUGCAUGGCUUUGACCAGCUCCAGCCAGAAAGAGGAACUUUCAGAGUCCAGGUUUGGGGCCUGUGGAUGAGUUACCUGUUACCAAGAAAGGUUACUGAGUCUCCAUCACUCAUGUGGGAAUGAGGCCACUUCCUACUGACAGAUCCUGUAGCUAUUUAUGGAGAGUUUUGGCCUUUCAGCAUCCAAUCCCUUUCAAUCAGGAGGAGUUCUCCACUGCAUAUUAUCUCAGAGGGUCCCAAUGUACCACCUCCUGCUGUAGAUGCCAAAGCUGGCGUGGGGGAAGCAGGAGGUGAGAAUGCAACUCAGGAUCAGUCAACCACAUGGGACCCUGAAUCUUGCAGGAGAGGCAGAAAGAGGCAGAUGUGGUUUAUAAAUUAUUGGCAGUUAUUGAAAGUCUAGAGGUGCGGCAUCGAGUGUCCAGCAUGGUGACAUCUCACUCCAGUGUUCUAAUUACUUUCUCCUGUAGCGAACUGGGCUCUGGUUCCAGCUCCCUGGCCUCCCUUGCUUUCUGUGUAUUUCCUGGGCCUGGCCUUCCAGUCUUUCUGCCUUGCAGUGAAUUUUCCUUUCACCAAGUUAGUCAGACUGGGUUUCUGUUGCUUGCUGCCAAGAACCUUGACAAUGUAGAACAGCGAAGAGAUGUGCUGUCAAGGCCUGAGCAACAGGUUCAACUGGACCCAAGACACGAACACUGUAUGAAAGUUACCCUCCUGCAAGCGACUCGGAAUGUCAAUCCUCCAGUGAGAGAGACAGAGAAUAAAUAAAUGUCUAUACAUAAAUACACACACUCACACGCGCACACAUAUGUCAGGUGGUGACAAGAGUAAAGUACAAUGAAGGAGUAGAGAGUGAGUGGGCAGUAUUUUAGAUGGGGUGGUGAGGGUAGACUGUUUGGAGGAGGGGGUGGUGAGCAGCGGCCUGAAUGGAGUGAAGGAGCAGCCAAGUCGGGUACUCAGAAGAGCCUUCCAGGCAAAGGGAGCCCCAAGAGAAAAGAUGCCGAGGCAAAAAAAAAAAAAAAAAAGUGUCACUUCUGUGUCUCUCCUGCUGGCACUGCUUCCUGGGAGCAGAGACUCUGCCUGUUUUCUUCACAUACACCAAGCCUAGGACACUUUCUGUCAUGUAAAUAUCUGUUCAUGAGUGAACAUCUGCCUGGCACGCAGGGUACAGUUCUUCACACAUCAUUUGCAGGCCUUCCCGAUUUGCCUACAGUGGGGCAUAGGAUGGGAAGGAACUCGUCAGGAGUAGGUUUCAGACAUGGGACCUGGGUGAGACAGGAUAGGUUACCUUAGUUGUCCCCUGAAACUCAAUAUGAUCCUCAUGUAGUUGUCAGGAGGGGUUAUAUUAUUUCAUGUUUGUAAAGGUCUUAGCACCAAGGGCACAGGCCUUUAUGUUCUAGAGGUUGGCUAUUAUUAUUACUAUUCUUACCAAUCAAUAAUAAACUGUAAAUCUAUAUAUAUCUA
Macaca mulatta (Rhesus monkey) is the source of this 5799-nucleotide non-coding RNA. NCBI's taxonomy places the organism in Eukaryota, Metazoa, Chordata, Mammalia, Primates, Cercopithecidae. The record is from RefSeq and is a predicted model, not a curated record.